GAUGAACGCUGGCGGCGUGCCUAAUACAUGCAAGUCGAGCGAACAGACGAGGAGCUUGCUCCUCUGACGUUAGCGGCGGACGGGUGAGUAACACGUGGAUAACCUACCUAUAAGACUGGGAUAACUUCGGGAAACCGGAGCUAAUACCGGAUAAUAUAUUGAACCGCAUGGUUCAAUAGUGAAAGACGGUUUUGCUGUCACUUAUAGAUGGAUCCGCGCCGCAUUAGCUAGUUGGUAAGGUAACGGCUUACCAAGGCAACGAUGCGUAGCCGACCUGAGAGGGUGAUCGGCCACACUGGAACUGAGACACGGUCCAGACUCCUACGGGAGGCAGCAGGAGGGAAUCUUCCGCAAUGGGCGAAAGCCUGACGGAGCAACGCCGCGUGAGUGAUGAAGGUCUUCGGAUCGUAAAACUCUGUUAUUAGGGAAGAACAAAUGUGUAAGAAACUAUGCACGUCUUGACGGUACCUAAUCAGAAAGCCACGGCUAACUACGUG
This 497-nucleotide ribosomal RNA is filed under the name uncultured bacterium. Its description in RNAcentral is "partial 16S ribosomal RNA". It matches the Rfam family "Bacterial small subunit ribosomal RNA", at positions 28 to 507 of the family's 1533-position model. The record is from RNAcentral.